GAUGAACGCUGGCGGCGUGCCUAAUACAUGCAAGUCGAGCGAACGGACGAGAAGCUUGCUUCUCUGAUGUUAGCGGCGGACGGGUGAGUAACACGUGGAUAACCUACCUAUAAGACUGGGAUAACUUCGGGAAACCGGAGCUAAUACCGGAUGAUAUUUUGAACCGCAUGGUUCAAAAGAGAAAGACGGUCUUGCUGGCACUUAUAGAUGGAUCCGCGCUGCAUUAGCUAGUUGGUAAGGUAACGGCUUACCAAGGCAACGAUGCAUAGCCGACCUGAGAGGGUGGUCGGCCACACUGGAACUGAGACACGGUCCAGACUCCUACGGGAGGCAGCAGUAGGGAAUCUUCCGCAAUGGGCGGAAGCCUGACGGAGCAACGCCGCGUGAGUGAUGAAGGUCUUCGGAUCGUAAAACUCUGUUAUUAGGUAAGAACAUAUGUGUAAGUAACUGUGCACAUCUUGACGGUACCUAAUCAGAAAGCCACGGCUAACUACGUG
RNAcentral lists this ribosomal RNA (497 nucleotides) under uncultured bacterium. RNAcentral's name for it is "partial 16S ribosomal RNA". It matches the Rfam family "Bacterial small subunit ribosomal RNA", at positions 28 to 507 of the family's 1533-position model. The record is from RNAcentral.